GCUUAACACAAGUUGAGUAGGGAAAGUUUUUCGGUGUAGGAUGAGACUAUAUAGUAUCAGCUAGUUGGUGAGGUAAUGGCUCACCAAGGCUAUGACGCUUAACUGGUCUGAGAGGAUGAUCAGUCACACUGGAACUGAGACACGGUCCAGACUCCUACGGGAGGCAGCAGUAGGGAAUAUUGCGCAAUGGGGGAAACCCUGACGCAGCAACGCCGCGUGGAGGAUGACACUUUUCGGAGCGUAAACUCCUUUUCUUAGGGAAGAAUUCUGACGGUACCUAAGGAAUAAGCACCGGCUAACUCCGUGCCAGCAGCCGCGGUAAUACGGAGGGUGCAAGCGUUACUCGGAAUCACUGGGCGUAAAGGGCGCGUAGGCGGAUUAUCAAGUCUCUUGUGAAAUCCAACGGCUUAACCGUUGAACUGCUUGGGAAACUGGUAAUCUAGAGUGGGGGAGAGGCAGAUGGAAUUGGUGGUGUAGGGGUAAAAUCCGUAGAUAUCACCAAGAAUACCCAUUGCGAAGGCGAUCUGCUGGAACUUAACUGACGCUAAGGCGCGAAAGCGUGGGGAGCAAACAGGAUUAGAUACCCUGGUAGUCCACGCCCUAAACGAUGUAUGCUAGUUGUUGGGGUGCUAGUCAUCUCAGUAAUGCAGCUAACGCAUUAAGCAUACCGCCUGGGGAGUACGGUCGCAAGAUUAAAACUCAAAGGAAUAGACGGGGACCCGCACAAGCGGUGGAGCAUGUGGUUUAAUUCGAAGAUACGCGAAGAACCUUACCUGGGCUUGAUAUCCUAAGAACCUUAUAGAGAUAUGAGGGUGCUAGCUUGCUAGAACUUAGAGACAGGUGCUGCACGGCUGUCGUCAGCUCGUGUCGUGAGAUGUUGGGUUAAGUCCCGCAACGAGCGCAACCCACGUAUUUAGUUGCUAACACUUCGGGUGAGCACUCUAAAUAGACUGCCUUCGUAAGGAGGAGGAAGGUGUGGACGACGUCAAGUCAUCAUGGCCCUUAUGCCCAGGGCGACACACGUGCUACAAUGGCAUAUACAAUGAGACGCAAUACCGCGAGGUGGAGCAAAUCUAUAAAAUAUGUCCCAGUUCGGAUUGUUCUCUGCAACUCGAGAGCAUGAAGCCGGAAUCGCUAGUAAUCGUAGAUCAGCCAUGCUACGGUGAAUACGUUCCCGGGUCUUGUACUCACCGCCCGUCACACCAUGGGAGUUGAUUUCACUCGAAGCCGGAAUACUAAACUAGUUACCGUCCACAGUGGAAUCAGCGACUGGGGUGAAGUCGUAACAAGGUAACCGUAGGAGAACCUGCGGUUGGAUCACCUCCUUUCUA
This 1331-nucleotide ribosomal RNA is filed under the name Campylobacter lari. RNAcentral describes it as "bacterial SSU rRNA". It matches the Rfam family "Bacterial small subunit ribosomal RNA", at positions 181 to 1533 of the family's 1533-position model. The record is from RNAcentral. Lineage: Bacteria; Pseudomonadati; Campylobacterota; Epsilonproteobacteria; Campylobacterales; Campylobacteraceae.